CAGCAAUAAAAAUCCAAGCUUAUUGCACAGAUUAAAUGAGAUAAUGUCUAGGAUGCUCUAUAAAGUGCCCAGCGCUACAUAACAAAAGGGUAUUAUUAUUAUUAUUAUUAUUAUUAUUAUUAUUAUAAUUAUAAAAUAACAAUCAUGCUUUUUUAAAACUGCACACCUUAUUCAGUGCAAGACGUAGAAGAUGAGUAAUAUAGUCCAGUAUCUCACCGUGGGUGCAAUUACAUAUUUCAGAAAUAUCAGUUAUCAUUUCUACCGAUGGAGGCGUGCCAAGGACUUGGUCACCGUCAACCAGCCUUCAGUGGAUUCUCCCUUAGUUGAGGAUGACACUGUUUAAAGGAUAACUUUCAGGAGAUCAGAAAUGUGUGGAUCCAGAAACUUCUCAGAGAGGAACACAUCUCAAUAGAACUUGCAUCUGGUGUUGUUCAAACCACAGUCCCUUCUUUUAAUUUGUCUUUAUUUUCUCUGUACCCGUGUGCUAUGGGUUCCUCAGCUGGAGUCCCUGCUGACUAUCUUGAAGAUACGGGUCCUCCGCUUCUUAACCUACCCCAGCCCAGAUACUACAAGUGAAGGAAGGAAGACUCCUUCCUCUCUGCCUCUCUCCCUUGAUGUUUAACAGACGCUCAAAAAAAAAAAAAAAA
Molecule: long non-coding RNA, 647 nt
Organism: Herpailurus yagouaroundi (jaguarundi)
Lineage: Eukaryota; Metazoa; Chordata; Mammalia; Carnivora; Felidae
Exons: 2
Source: RefSeq, a predicted model, not a curated record